UUUAAGGUCNAACCUGCCCAAUGAGGAUUUAAAUGGCCGCAGUAUUUUGACUGUGCAAAGGUAGCAUAAUUAUUAGUUUUUUAAUUGAAANCUUGUNUGAAGGGUUGGACNAGAUAAAAUCUGUCUUUAUUUAAAUUAAAGUAUAAUUUAACUUUUAAGUCAAAAGGCUUAAAUGUUUAUAAAAGACGAGAAGACCCUAUANAUCUUUAUUUANUUAAGAUUUUAAUAAUUUAGGAUUAUUUUAAUUUGGAGUUUUAAUUAAAUUUUAUUGGGGUAAUAUAAAGAUUAAAUUAAUUCUUUUUAUUUAUGACAUUNAUUUAUGAAUAUGUGAUCCAUUAAUAUUGAUUAUAANAUUAAGUUACCUUANGGAUAACAGNGUAAUUUUUUUGGAGAGCUCAUAUCGAUAA
RNAcentral lists this ribosomal RNA (407 nucleotides) under Cicindela (Rivacindela) sp. JP-52. Its description in RNAcentral is "partial 16S ribosomal RNA". The record is from RNAcentral. Lineage: Eukaryota; Metazoa; Arthropoda; Insecta; Coleoptera; Carabidae.